Molecule: ribosomal RNA, 3405 nt
Filed under: Suberites domuncula
Lineage: Eukaryota; Metazoa; Porifera; Demospongiae; Suberitida; Suberitidae
Description: large subunit ribosomal RNA
Rfam family: Bacterial large subunit ribosomal RNA
Source: RNAcentral
UAAAAAUUAGUAUAAAUAGAUAACAAAUGGAUAACUAGGAUGUUAUAAUGAGGACGUUCUUUAAUACGAAAAGUCGGUGAAGAAAAAAUGAAAUCGAAAUUCCAUAAGAAAACGCAAUUAUAAAUUAAAAUCUCAGGAACUGAAACAUCUCAGUACUAGAGAGGAAAAAAAUCAAGCGAGAUUCCGUUAGUAGUGGCGAGCGAAGACGGAGGAGAUCUGAUCCAAAAAAAGUUCAUAAUAAUUAAAAACCACAGAGGUUAACAGCCCCGUUGAUUGAAAAAUUAAGGAUUCAUAAUGUGUCGUGUCAUUAACGUGGCUGGCAUUUUAAGCUAAAGAUAAAAGAUAUUUUUUUAUUUUUAAAGAGUAGAAUUAUUUGAAGAGAGGUGAUCCAUACAUCUAAAAUUAAAUCUUAUAACAUACCUAAAGUGUACGAGUACUGUGAAGGAAAGUUGAAAGAGAAUAAAGCUAAAUUUGAGGAUUUAACCUCUGAAGCUAUUAAAAGGCGCAAACUCUAUUAUGAAUUUGUUCUUUAGAGUGAAAAAGAUUUUGAAAUUUGUUAUAUACAAGCAGACGAGAUUCGUCGUACCUUUUGCAUAAUGGGUUCGUGAGAAAAAUAUUUGGCAAACUUAAGUUUAUAAACGCAGGUGUAGUGAAAAUGAGUUUUAAUUUAUUGUUUUAGGGUUAACCACCAUAAACCGAAGGUUUAUGGUGGUUAGGCUUUUGGAAACAUGGAGAGCUUUAGUCAAAUAGAGCCCGAAACCUAGUGAGCUAACCAUGGGCAGUUUGAAGCUCCCCUAAUAGGAAGUGGAGGAACGAACUGGUGAUUGUGGCAAAAAUCUCAGAUGACCUGUGGUUAGAGGUAAAAAGCCAAUCGAACUAGGAAAUAGCUGGUUUUCUGCGAAAGCUAUUGAAGUAGCGCGUCAUUAGAAUUCGUCACGAGUCGAAUGAUAUGGCUAGGCCAUUGAGUUCAGGUAGAAUUACCUUGAAUUUGAACGAAUUUGUGUAUUUUUACAUAGUAAAGCACUGAAUGGAGACAUCUAUAUGGUGUAUUCAACCAAACUAUGAAAGUGUAAGAAGAAAGAUGAUAGACAGACAGUGGGCGAGAAGGUCCAUUGUCAAAAGGAAACAACCUAGAUCAGAAGUUAAGGCCGUAAAAUUUAACUAAGUGUAAAAGGAGCUUAAAGAUAGAGACAACAGAAAGUGGGCUUGGAGCCAGCCAUCUUUGAAAGAUUACGUAACAGUUCACUUGAUAAAUUUAUAGGUUUCUAAAAUUUUGGUGGCUUAAGUUUUUAUUGGAGAUUAUAAUUCAAGUGAAUUAAAUAUCCGCUUCAGAUGUUCUAGAAUUCGUGUACGAGUCUAGGAAUCUAGAUAGCCGAAACUCUGGAUAUAAAAAAUUAAUCCUCACGAGCCUCAAUUGAACCAAGGGUUAAACCCUUGGAUCCAAUUAUCUCGAGUCUUAGCCCCUAAGAUUUUUAAAACCUAGGGGCUAAUUAGGGGAACAACAACCCCGAAGGAUUUGAGUUUGAUAUAUGUGAUAAGGAUUUAUAUAAUGGUAGCAGAACGUUCUGUAAUAUGAUUGAUAAUUAGAUCGCGAAAGUUUAUCAGAAGUGAUAAUGCGAACAUGAGUAAAAAACAGUGUGAGAAUCACUGCUCAUAGCCCUAGGUUUCCAAUAAUUGAGAUUAUCAAGAUUGGGUUAUACAGCCCCUAAGGAUGAUGAUUUUUUAAUUUGUCACAUGAAUUAAACCUAAGAUUUAAAAUUUUUAGGGUUAAUUCAGGGACUAAAAAUUGAAAGCGCACAAUGGGAAAAAAUUAAUAAGUGAAAAAUUUAAUUUAAUAAGCUGUACUUAAACUAACACAAGUGGGCCUAAAGUGAUGGUAGAAUUUAUCUUAAGGAACUCGGCAAAAUGACCCCGUAAGAUUGCAAGAAGGGGUGCCAAUUUUUGAUAUAUUAUCGUUAAAGCCACACAUAGUGUGAGCUCUGCGGGAGGUUAAAAGUUGGUUUCGAGAAAAGAGGGGGUGUCGACUGUUACCAAAAACAUAGCUCCACCAAAAGCCUUUAAGGUGAAGUAUUGGAGGUGAGGCCUGCCCAGUGGUUGUAUCUCAACCCAUGUGAUUAUAAGCCGACCCUAGGUCGAAGAAGUUACAUGAUUAAGGACAAUUAAAUGGCCGCGGUAAAACUGACCGUGAUAAUGUAGCGCAAUCAAUAGCCAAUUAAUUGUUGGCAAGUAUGAAUGGCGUAACGAAUGCCCCACUGUCUCAAGAUAAAAACCAAUGAAAUUGAAAUCGUAGUGAAGAUGCUACGUACAAGUUGUAAGACGAGAAGACCCCAUUGAGCUUUACUGGAAGCUUAUAUUGAUUUUUUCCAAUUAAUGUGUAGAUUAUGUGGGUACAUUAUGAAAAACCACUCAUUAAUUAUAAAAAAAACUUACUAGAUACUGGACAAGUGUAAGCCGGACAGUUUGGUUGGGGCGACCGCCUUCUAAAAAGUAACGAAGGUGUACAUAAGGUAAAUAAUAUAAUAGUAUAAAGUAAAAAGCCUGACAGCAAGGGAGACCCCCGAGCUGACACGGAUGUAAUUAUGAGGAUUAGCCUUCAUCUUUUAAGAGAGUCUAAUCCAUGAACUCGGGAAGAUUAAGUAUCGGGUUUAGGGCAUAAUAAACCGUUUGUGGGUUAUAAUGACCCGUUAGUUAAGAGUGGAUUUGCUAACGAGCAACGAAUAAAAGUUACCAUGGGGAUAACAGCGUAAUAUCGUUCAAGAGUCCAUAUCGACGACGAUGUUUGCGACCUCGAUGUUGAAUUGCGGUAUCCUAGAGGUGUAGCCGCUUCUAAGGGUUGGACUGUUCGUCCAUUAAAAUCGUACAUGAUUUGAGUUCAGACCGGCGUGAGCCAGGUCGGUUUCUAUCUACAAUUUGUUUAGGAAACAUUAGAUAUAUUCUCCAUUCUAGUACGAAAGGACCGAGUGAUAGGUAUCCGCUGGUGUACCAAUUACCAAAACUUGAUAGGUUGUUGGGUAGCUACGAUAAAAUUAAGGCUUAGCUUUUGUAAAAUUGGAUCCAAGGGUUAAACCCUUGGUUCAAUUGAUACCCGUAAGGGUGUCGUAAUCUUGAAAAUUAAGGGUUAUGGAGAGUUAAGUUUAAAGGGAAGCACCUUUAAUUCUAAUCGCCUGAAUGCAUCUCAAGGGAGAAGUAAAAUAUCAUUUAAUGUUUCUAUUAAGACUGUUUGAGAAUAAGACGUUGAUAGGAUCUAUGUGUAUAAAAUAAUCAAUUAACCCCCUAACCCCACGGGUUAUAAGGGUUUAGCCUUUGGAUUAAAAUCUUUUCCAAGGUAAGAUUAAAAGCUUAAGAUAUCUAAAGUAGAGCGUGAACAUAAGUAAGUUGCGCUUGUUCAAAAUACUAAUUUUUCGA